GCUGCGAUGGCCGAGUGGUUAAGGCGUUGGACUCGAAAUCCAAUGGUAUAUUCCCGCGCAGGUUCGAAUCCUGUUCGCAGCG
This is a non-coding RNA of Ciona savignyi (Pacific transparent sea squirt), 82 nucleotides long. The record is from Rfam. Lineage: Eukaryota; Metazoa; Chordata; Ascidiacea; Phlebobranchia; Cionidae.